RNAcentral lists this ribosomal RNA (465 nucleotides) under uncultured bacterium. RNAcentral's name for it is "partial 16S ribosomal RNA". It matches the Rfam family "Bacterial small subunit ribosomal RNA", at positions 338 to 795 of the family's 1533-position model. The record is from RNAcentral.
CCUACGGGUGGCAGCAGUAGGGAAUCUUCCACAAUGGGCGAAAGCCUGAUGGAGCAACGCCGCGUGGGUGAAGAAGGUCUUCGGAUCGUAAAACCCUGUUGGUAGAGAAGAAAGUGCGUGAGAGUAACUGUUCACGUGUCGACGGUAUCGAACCAGAAAGACACGGCUAACGACGUGCCAGCAGCCGCGGUAAUACGUAGGGGGCAAGCGUUAGCCGGAUUUAUUGGGCGUAAAGGGAACGCAGGCGGUCUUUUAAGUCUGAUGUGAAAGCCUUCGGCUUAACCGGAGUAGUGCAUUGGAAACUGGGAGACUUGAGUGCAGCAGAGGCGAGUGGAACUCCCUGUGUAGCGGUGAUAUGCGUAGAUAUCUGGAAGAACACCAGUGGCGAACGCGGCUCUCUGGUCUGUAACUGACGCUGAGGUUCGAAAGCGUGGGUAGCAAACAGGAUUAGCUACCCCUGUAGUC